Molecule: ribosomal RNA, 300 nt
Filed under: uncultured Flavobacteriaceae bacterium
Lineage: Bacteria; Pseudomonadati; Bacteroidota; Flavobacteriia; Flavobacteriales; Flavobacteriaceae
Description: bacterial SSU rRNA
Rfam family: Bacterial small subunit ribosomal RNA
Source: RNAcentral
CGCGUAUACAAUCUACCUUGUACUAGGGGAUAGCCUUUAGAAAUGAAGAUUAAUACCCUAUAGUAUGUAUUUGUGGCAUCACAUUAUACAUUAAAGGUUACGGUAUAAGAUGAGUAUGCGUCCUAUUAGUUAGUUGGUAAGGUAACGGCUUACCAAGACUACGAUAGGUAGGGGCCCUGAGAGGGGGAUCCCCCACACUGGUACUGAGACACGGACCAGACUCCUACGGGAGGCAGCAGUGAGGAAUAUUGGACAAUGGAGGCAACUCUGAUCCAGCCAUGCCGCGUGCAGGAAGACGGC